UACGAAGGGGGCUAGCGUUGUUCGGAAUUACUGGGCGUAAAGCGCACGUAGGCGGUCUUUUAAGUCGGGGGUGAAAUCCUGGAGCUCAACUCCAGAACUGCCUUCGAUACUGGAAGACUUGAGUCCGGGAGAGGUGAGUGGAACUGCGAGUGUAGAGGUGAAAUUCGUAGAUAUUCGCAAGAACACCAGUGGCGAAGGCGGCUCACUGGCCCGGUACUGACGCUGAGGUGCGAAAGCGUGGGGAGCGAACAGG
Molecule: ribosomal RNA, 253 nt
Filed under: uncultured bacterium
Lineage: Bacteria
Description: partial 16S ribosomal RNA
Rfam family: Bacterial small subunit ribosomal RNA
Source: RNAcentral